Molecule: non-coding RNA, 1969 nt
Organism: Python bivittatus (Burmese python)
Lineage: Eukaryota; Metazoa; Chordata; Lepidosauria; Squamata; Pythonidae
Source: RefSeq, a predicted model, not a curated record
GGAAAGGAGGGACAAAAAGGAUUGGACUAGAACAAGAGGGCAUUAACGGCUGACUUAUUGUCCUUUCGGAAAUCUCUCAGGACAUGGUUUUUCCAGCAGGCCUGGGGAACCCUUGGAAACAGGCAGCCCGUGAGAUGGCUUUAUGUGGAUGUGUGUCAAUUACCCUGUUCUUCUUCAAACCAAGAUUUCUUAUUACUGCUGUUUGAUAUAUUUAUAGAGCUUGUAUUUAUAAUGAAGAAAUGCUUUUAAAAAUGUUUUAGAUUCAUGGAAAUAAUGAUGCACAUCAUGUAAAGUGUUCUUCAUGUUUCCCAAAGGUGGGAACCCCGUGGAUAUAGUGGAUGGAAAAAUGACAUUUCCCAUGACUCAGGGCUAAUCUGCUAGCUGUUAGGUUGACCCUGGAAGCAUGGGAAACACUUAAAAAAUCUAUCAAGUGUUGCCACCUUUUGGAAAAGAAAGGAAAAGAGAAAAGGAAACUAAACAAAGGAAGCAAAUAUAAAUAAUAUAUAUCAGCUUAGCUACAUUUUUGGGGUAGGUUUGCUAAAGUUUGUAAUAUAGUUUGGGAUAAAAAUAGAGGGAAAUGAAAUAUUUUCUGAGGUUAAACAGGUCAUAGAUCUUUCUGCUUAAAAAAAAACUGGUUCUACUAAGAUGAUAGAAUUCAAAUAUUUGAGAAGCAUGUAAGGGAAUCCAUAUGCUUUUCUCAAAGACAAAGACCUAUUUAACAGCUGUUGUGCUAUGGGGCUUGAAUCUAUAUUGUCUCCAUAAGCUCAAGAAAGUGUACACAGAUCCAUUUUUAUCCUCUGACAACAACUCACUUCAAGAAGUGAGGCCAAUACAUAUAUUUGCCCAUCCUGGAUAGCAACAACAGUCAGAAGCGGAUCUGCUGAGUGGAUGGCUGAAAUGAUAAAUGUCUUGCUACAAGAAGAGGUAGAUUGUGCAUGUUUGCAAGAAUCUAUGAUAAAAUCAUUAAAUAACAUUCUCCCAGAGAAUUCCUGACCAGUAUCUAAUAUUCCAUUCUUAAGAUUCUUGUUCAUGGAAUAAUUUUUCAACUUCAGAUUGAAUGAAAUGGACUCCUCUUUUUUAAAAGAUAAGCUCAUCAUUUGGGAAUUCUUCUGUACAUAACCUAGAAGCCCAGAUGUUGACAGUGCCCAGGAGGCCAGUAGCCAGGAUGGGGUGCCAACUCAGCCCAUUCCUAAAACAUGCAGAUCUAGCCAAUGUGACAUUUAUAUAUUUAUUAUAUGAUAUCACUACUGGAUUCUUACAGUGCACUUCACUUAGCGCUGCCUUUAAAGACUAUUUGGAAACAACAACUGCCUAAAAAUACUGUAUAAGCAUCCAUAUGUUUACAGGGACAGGUCAUCAUGGAGAAAAUCUAUUUAUGUGGCUGCUAAGAAUUGAUGUCAACUUGAUCACACAUAAUCAAUCAAUCAAUCAAUCAAUCAAUCAAUCAAUCAAUCAAUAUGUUAACAGGGCUGACUACGGAAAGCAGUCUCUCUUACUGAAACAGUUAUCUUAGCUUCCAUGGACAACUCUAACCACUGGUUAUGACCUUUACAGCCCUGAAUGAUUUAGGACCAUGAUAUUUAAAUGACUGGCUUAUCUCAUAUGAUCAUCUUCAGAAGCUCUCUUGUUACACUCAGCAAUCUUUCAUUUUGAAGAGGAUCACUUUGAUGGCUUUGGAAUGUCCUACCCAGAGAGGACCAUCUCACUUUUCAGAAGCGGACAAUCCAGCUUUAUGGGAAGCCCUUUGUUGUCUAUUCCUGCCUGCUAAUUUAUCAAAUUCAAUUUUAAAUAUUUAAAGUACUUUUAAUUGUUAUUGUUGUGUUCUGGGGUUUUUUGGCUGCUGCUUUGUGUUUUCUCUGUUUAUGCUCUAAAGUAAUUUUAAAAGAUCUUUAUUUUUUAAAGAGCUUCCUAGAACUGUGGAGGCUUUGUGGGGUAUACAGUAAAAAUAAACAAAUUAAUAAACAAAUGA